UCAAGGUGAUUAUGUAUUGUGUCCUAACAUUCAAUGAAGGAAAGCACACCAAUUCAAAUGCUUCCAUUUUAAGUGUGAACUAUGUCCUUCAACUAACAUGUUACAGCAGUGACGACUAACAAAGGAAUACUAGAUUUAUUUUAAAAACCAAGGUGUUAUGGGCCUCUACUAUCUGUAUUGUUGCUGAUGGAUUCAAGCUUUUAUCCCAAGCAUUUUUUUCCUAGUUUCAAUAUCAGUGGCUGGGCAAUCAGGGACUUAACAGUCAUUACUUAGCAAAGCUGACAAGGAGACAUAGUGGACCUAAAAGGAGACAACGCUCUACCAGCAUUAUCACCCAUUAAUGAUUCUAGGAAGCAAGAGAAAGAAAAACCACCAAGUAGGCAAUAAAUUAAUCUUCAAAGAGAGAAGAGAUGGCAUUUGUAGAUCUCCUUUACAAAUUUGGCCAUGAUUCUGAAAUCCAGUUGAUGCACAAUGUUACAGUGCGACUAAAAGGACAAAUACACAAAUAUGCUUAUGAUGCAUAAGCAGGAAAAUCAGUGUAAUGUGGCCAGGCACUUGGGGCAUAGUGAAGUGGUACCUGGCACCAGUCAUUUUUCUUUGUCUCUACACCCAAAUUGGUGCCCAGAGAAGUUCCCCUGUCACCCUCCCCUAGUUACACCACUGAGGAAAAUAAUAACUAUGAGCUGGGGAUGAUCCAUGACAUUGGCAAGAGAUCAUUAUUUAAAUCUUGCACCUAGUUCUGGUGUCAACACUUCAAGAGACAAUAUACAAGAAAGUGAACAGAUUAACUGAAAAGCUGCAUUAACCAACUAAGGUCUGCAAACUUCAUCUGCUCUAUUUAUUUUGCUUAUCCAAGGAGGAAGAACUACACUGUUAUCAAAUUCAAGUGCGUAGAGAGGGAAGACAUUUCUGAUCAUUGUCCCCUGAAAACUACCUUGGCAUCCAUUUGGUAUAUCCGAGACAUUAGUUUAACUCUAGAAAGGAACACAUCCUCCAAGACACUGUACUCUGAGCACCAUUUCUAAAGUUUGUUGCAUUUCAAAUGUCUGCACAUCAUUAUAGACCAUGUAUCUAUAAAUAAGACAUGUUUAGCAAGCUCUAAUAGUUUUUAUACUGUUACAUAACAGAAUAUCAAUGCUUAAUUCCAGUGUUACCCCUCAAACUGAAAGUCAUACCAGUAUGCUGAACCCAACUGCCCUGCACUUAGGCUGAAGAUUUAUUUUCUGUACAUGACUAUAGCCAUAUUCAGCAAAUACUUUUUUGAUCCAUUCUGUUUUGCUCACACAAUAACCUUACCUUUAUGGGAUGACUUCUCCUGACCUAAUUUGAAGUUAAAAAGAAAUUCCUCAUUAAGCAUGAGCAGCUUCUCCCCUCAAGAUAUCUGUGCAUGCUUGGGUUACUUUCAAGUAUUUUGCUUUGACUCAUUAUAAUGUUACUCAGCUGGGAUUACCACAACUGUAAAAAGUAGUUUUCAAAGGCAGUAUAUUCCACAAUCAUUGGAUGUUUUCAGAGGGUUUCAUUAUUCCACAAAAAAUGAAGUUAAUUGCUUAAUCCUACUGACGUCAGCAUGAGCUUUACUCUGAUUUUUAAAGACACUGAUUUAAGAUCCUGAAUUCCAGAUGACAAUAGAAUACCUCAAGUACUUGGACAGGCAACUAAUGCAGAACUUCAUUUUACAACCAACCAAGGGUAUUGUCCCCAUUUGUACCCACUGGCUGCUCUGGUCUCUAAAGCUAUUGGAGAAUGAAAAACAAAACUCAAGGUAGGUAAAAAAAGCAUCCAUAGUUUCCAUCUCUUAGUAUCCAAGUAAAUAGAGCAUUACAGUUUUAAUCCCUGUCAAAUGUCUGUCAGCUAUGCCUUUUUCUAACAGUUAAUGUAGAAGCUAUUCCGUCUCAUGCACCUGGUAGCAGGGACAAAUAUUAUUGAAGUUACAAUAUGAAAAUUUCGAAGUAACUAAGCAAUUUUGUCAUUAUUUCCCACUUAAGAAUUCUCAAGUUGUAUCACUCAAAA
This is a long non-coding RNA of Gavialis gangeticus (Gharial), 2010 nucleotides long. RefSeq lists it as uncharacterized. Lineage: Eukaryota; Metazoa; Chordata; Crocodylia; Gavialidae. The record is from RefSeq and is a predicted model, not a curated record. The transcript has 3 exons.